This 440-nucleotide ribosomal RNA is filed under the name uncultured bacterium. RNAcentral's name for it is "partial 16S ribosomal RNA". It matches the Rfam family "Bacterial small subunit ribosomal RNA", at positions 338 to 795 of the family's 1533-position model. The record is from RNAcentral.
CCUACGGGCGGCAGCAGUGGGGAAUAUUGCACAAUGGGGGAAACCCUGAUGCAGCGACGCCGCGUGAGUGAAGAAGUAAUUCGUUAUGUAAAGCUCUAUCAGCAGGGAAGAAAAUGACGGUACCUGAGUAAGAAGCCCCGGCUAACUACGUGCCAGCAGCCGCGGUAAUACGUAGGGGGCAAGCGUUAUCCGGAUUUACUGGGUGUAAGGGGAGCGUAGACGGCAGUGCAAGUCUGGUGUGAAAGGCGGGGGCUCAACCCCCGGACUGCACUGGAAACUGUACGGCUGGAGUGCAGGAGAGAGAAGUAGAAUUCCUGGUGUAGCGGUGAAAUGCGUAGAGAUGAGGAGGAACACCAGUGGCGAAGGCGGCUUCCUGGACUGUAACUGACGUUGAGGUUCGAAAGCGUGGGGAGCAAACAGGAUUAGAUACCCGAGUAGUC